RNAcentral lists this unclassified non-coding RNA (245 nucleotides) under Glomus sp. RNAcentral describes it as "partial contains 5.8S ribosomal RNA and internal transcribed spacer 2". The stretch from base 1 to 65 matches the Rfam family "5.8S ribosomal RNA", at positions 84 to 154 of the family's 154-position model. The record is from RNAcentral. Lineage: Eukaryota; Fungi; Glomeromycota; Glomeromycetes; Glomerales; Glomeraceae.
GUGAAUCAUCGAAUUUUUGAACGCAAAUUGCACUCUCUUCGGAGAGUAUGUCUGUUUGAGGGUCAGUCUAAAAAAAAUCGACAUAGUUGAUGUUUCGAGGUGACAUUCGUAGUAAAUUUGGUAAUAUUAAGCCUUUUGGUUUUAAGCGGCUUAAAAUUUUCUUUACGAUUCCACGAACGUUUCUAAGAUUUAUUUACACGUUUAAGGUAUUGAUUUUUAUUAGAUGUUGACGUUGCAUGGUGUCG